CCUUUCAAAAUAAAUUAAAAAAAAAAAAACUGCAAAAGAUUAUGAAGAGUAAGCCUUCCUUUUUCCCCUUUUUCCUUGGUCACACUCUCUUACUCUUAAUAGUUUAUUUUGUAUCCUUCUAGAAAAGCUUUAUGCAUACAUGGCUUCAUACCAUAUGUACAUGAAUGAAUAUACAUGUAAAGGAUUUAGCAUAUUUGUUGAAGAUUUAUUGGUGGUCCAUUAACUCAUGCCUGAACAAUGUGACAUAUGAUAUGGUAUUAAAAUAUAAAGCAUUUGCUCAUGGGGAAAACAUAAUAGAUUAUAGUUCCUAUUACAUAUUACUGCUUAGCGCUAAUCAGACAUUUGUUUCCCGUGACCAUUGAUUUCUGUGGCUGUUUUUAACCAACUUAAGUAUAAAAGAUUGAGAAAAGUUUAGAAAUUUACCGACAGAAAUUAAUCCUUACAUAGUACUUGUACCUGUUAAUUGUGUAGUCAUGUAACAUGGAUAUAUAGGUCAAAAAAAUGUGAACAGAAUGACAGGAAGUAGGGGAAAAUAACUGAUUUCUGGCUUUGUUCUCUGUGUCUUCAGGGCCCUAUCCUCCCCCCAGCUGUUAUUUUCUUCCAGGCACUCCCACCUACAUCAAAAACAAAAGCCAGAAUUUAAGAGCUGGAAGGUGGUGCUAAAAGAGAGGAGCUCCCUUACGUGGGCUCACUGUGGCCACUGAACAAUUAUUCUCAUCA
This is a long non-coding RNA of Neofelis nebulosa (Clouded leopard), 720 nucleotides long. RefSeq lists it as uncharacterized. The transcript is spliced from 2 exons. NCBI's taxonomy places the organism in Eukaryota, Metazoa, Chordata, Mammalia, Carnivora, Felidae. The record is from RefSeq and is a predicted model, not a curated record.